AGAGUUUGAUCCUGGCUCAGAACGAACGCUGGCGGCAUGCCUAAUACAUGCAAGUCGAACGCGCCUAGCAAUAGGCGAGUGGCGGACGGGUGAGUAACGCGUGGGAACCUGCCCUUGAGUGCGGGAUAACCGAGGGAAACUUCGGCUAAUACCGCAUGUUCCCGGAGCAAUCCGGGGAAAGAUUUAUCGCUCGAGGAGGGGCCCGCGUCGGAUUAGCUAGUUGGUGGGGUAACGGCCUACCAAGGCGAUGAUCCGUAGCUGGUCUGAGAGGAUGAUCAGCCACACUGGGACUGAGACACGGCCCAGACUCCUACGGGAGGCAGCAGUAGGGAAUAUUGGACAAUGGGGGCAACCCUGAUCCAGCAAUGCCGCGUGAGUGAUGAAGGCCUUAGGGUUGUAAAGCUCUUUCGCGCGCGACGAUGAUGACGGUAGCGCGAGAAGAAGCCCCGGCUAACUUCGUGCCAGCAGCCGCGGUAAUACGAAGGGGGCGAGCGUUGUUCGGAAUUACUGGGCGUAAAGGGCGCGCAGGCGGCUCUUCAAGUCAGGCGUGAAAGCCCCGGGCUUAACCUGGGAAUUGCGCUUGGGACUGGAGGGCUUGAGUACGGGAGAGGAGAGUGGAAUUCCCAGUGUAGAGGUGAAAUUCGUAGAUAUUGGGAAGAACACCGGUGGCGAAGGCGGCUCUCUGGACCGUAACUGACGCUGAGGCGCGAAAGCGUGGGGAGCAAACAGGAUUAGAUACCCUGGUAGUCCACGCUGUAAACGAUGUGCGCUAGACGUUGGAGGACCUAGUUCUCCAGUGUCGCAGCUAACGCUUUAAGCGCACCGCCUGGGGAGUACGGCCGCAAGGUUAAAACUCAAAGGAAUUGACGG
This 870-nucleotide ribosomal RNA is filed under the name uncultured bacterium. RNAcentral's name for it is "bacterial SSU rRNA". It matches the Rfam family "Bacterial small subunit ribosomal RNA", at positions 8 to 916 of the family's 1533-position model. The record is from RNAcentral.